GAGCAAUGCACCUACACUGAAAUUGGAGUGAUACAGAGAAGAUUAGCAUGGCCUGUGUGCAAGGAUGACAUACAGAUUUACAAAGAAUUUCAUAUUUUA
This 99-nucleotide small nuclear RNA is filed under the name Sciurus vulgaris (Eurasian red squirrel). Lineage: Eukaryota; Metazoa; Chordata; Mammalia; Rodentia; Sciuridae. The record is from RNAcentral.